GCGGAAGUAGUAUAGUGGUUAGUAUAUUGCCUUGCCAAGGCAGUGACCUGGGUUCAAAUCCCAGCUUUCGCA
RNAcentral lists this transfer RNA (72 nucleotides) under Nanobdellota archaeon. Its description in RNAcentral is "tRNA-Gly". It matches the Rfam family "tRNA". From Rfam's summary of the family: Transfer RNA (tRNA) molecules are approximately 80 nucleotides in length. Their secondary structure includes four short double-helical elements and three loops (D, anti-codon, and T loops). Lineage: Archaea; Nanobdellati; Nanobdellota. The record is from RNAcentral.